GCUAACUUGGUGGCAGCGGCUGUGGUAAAACGAAGGGUGCAAGCGGUACUCGGAAGUACUGGGCGUAAAGCGUGCGGAGGGGGUGAGUUAAGUCGGAUGUGAAAUCCCCGGGCUCAACCUGGGAAUGGCAUUGGAUACUGGCUCGCUAGAGUGCGGUAGAGGGUGGUGGAAUUCCCGGUGUAGCAGUGAAAUGCGUAGAGAUCGGGAGGAACAUCUGUGGCGAAGGCGGCCACCUGGACCAGCACUGACACUGAGGCACGAAAGCGUGGGGAGCAAACAGGAUUAGAUACCCGUGUAGUC
RNAcentral lists this ribosomal RNA (300 nucleotides) under uncultured Enterococcus sp. RNAcentral describes it as "bacterial SSU rRNA". It matches the Rfam family "Bacterial small subunit ribosomal RNA", at positions 496 to 795 of the family's 1533-position model. Lineage: Bacteria; Bacillati; Bacillota; Bacilli; Lactobacillales; Enterococcaceae. The record is from RNAcentral.